RNAcentral lists this ribosomal RNA (456 nucleotides) under uncultured Burkholderia sp. RNAcentral describes it as "bacterial SSU rRNA". It matches the Rfam family "Bacterial small subunit ribosomal RNA", at positions 201 to 640 of the family's 1533-position model. Lineage: Bacteria; Pseudomonadati; Pseudomonadota; Betaproteobacteria; Burkholderiales; Burkholderiaceae. The record is from RNAcentral.
GGAGGGGGGGAUCUUAGGACCUCCCGCUACAGGGGCGGCCGAUGGCAGAUUAGCUAGUUGGUGGGGUAAAGGCCUACCAAGGCGACGAUCUGUAGCUGGUCUGAGAGGACGACCAGCCACACUGGGACUGAGACACGGCCCAGACUCCUACGGGAGGCAGCAGUGGGGAAUUUUGGACAAUGGGGGAAACCCUGAUCCAGCAAUGCCGCGUGUGUGAAGAAGGCCUUCGGGUUGUAAAGCACUUUUGUCCGGAAAGAAAUCCUCUUCGCUAAUACCGAGGGGGGAUGACGGUACCGGAAGAAUAAGCACCGGCUAACUACGUGCCAGCAGCCGCGGUAAUACGUAGGGUGCAAGCGUUAAUCGGAAUUACUGGGCGUAAAGCGUGCGCAGGCGGUUCGCUAAGACAGAUGUGAAAUCCCCGGGCUUAACCUGGGAACUGCAUUUGUGACUGGCGGG